GGAGAGAUGGCUCAGGGGUUAAGAGCACUGACUACACUUCUAGAGGUCCUGAGUUCAAUUCCCAGCAACCACA
RNAcentral lists this transfer RNA (73 nucleotides) under Mus musculus (house mouse). RNAcentral's name for it is "tRNA-Cys". The record is from RNAcentral. Lineage: Eukaryota; Metazoa; Chordata; Mammalia; Rodentia; Muridae.